AUGUCUAUUAGAAUAAAAUUUUUAGUCUGGCCUGCCCCCUGAUAAGUUUAAAGGGCCGCGGUAUUUGGACCGUGCUAAGGUAGCGUAAUCAGUAGUCUUUUAAUUGGAGUCUAGAAUGAAUGGUCGGAUGAGGUAUAAUUUGUCUUCGGGUGUAUUGUUUGAAUUUUACUUUUAAGUGAAAAGGCUUAAAUAUCGUGAGGGGACGAUAAGACCCUAUGAAGCUUUAUAUUAUCGAUUUCAGUGUUUAAUAAUAUUGUGUUUGAAUUAGUAAUUUAAUAAUAUUUUGUUGGGGCGACAGGAAUAUAAGUUUAACUGUUCUUAGUGGAAAAAUAAUUGAUUUUUAGGUUGUUGAUCUUGUAUGUUAUGGAUUAAAAGAUUUAAUGUUACUCUAGGGAUAACAGCGUAAUUUUUCUUGAGAGUUCUUAUCGACAGAAAUAUUUGCGACCUCGAUGUUGAAUUAAGGUUACGCCAUGGUGCAGGAGCUGUGGAAGGUAGGUCUGUUCGACCUUUAAAAUCUUACAUGAUUUGAGUUCAGACCGGCGUG
RNAcentral lists this ribosomal RNA (544 nucleotides) under Stygiocaris sp. Bundera. RNAcentral's name for it is "partial 16S ribosomal RNA". It matches the Rfam family "Bacterial large subunit ribosomal RNA", at positions 1823 to 2623 of the family's 2925-position model. Lineage: Eukaryota; Metazoa; Arthropoda; Malacostraca; Decapoda; Atyidae. The record is from RNAcentral.